AGAGUUUGAUCAUGGCUCAGAAUGAACGCUGGCGGCGUGCCUAACACAUGCAAGUCGAACGAGAAAGCUUCUUCGGAAGCAAGUAUAGUGGCGAACGGGUGAGUAACACGUAAGAAUCUACCUUCUAGUAAAGAAUACCUUCGAGAAAUCGAAGUUAAUACUGUAUAAGCCCUACGGGGGAAAGACGGCCUCUUUGCUGUCGCUAGAAGAUGAGCUUGCGGACUAUUAGCUUGUUGGUAGGGUAAUGGCCUACCAAGGUAAUGAUGGGUAGCCGGCCUGAGAGGGUGUACGGCCACACUGGGACUGAGACACGGCCCAGACUCCUACGGGAGGCAGC
RNAcentral lists this ribosomal RNA (337 nucleotides) under uncultured bacterium. RNAcentral's name for it is "bacterial SSU rRNA". It matches the Rfam family "Bacterial small subunit ribosomal RNA", at positions 8 to 352 of the family's 1533-position model. The record is from RNAcentral.